AUUAUCUUGGCAGACUAGUGCGUUAAAUUUAGAAUUUAAAUAUGAAAAUGAAAAAUUUUUAGAUAAUA
Molecule: non-coding RNA, 68 nt
Organism: Cephus cinctus (wheat stem sawfly)
Lineage: Eukaryota; Metazoa; Arthropoda; Insecta; Hymenoptera; Cephidae
Source: the annotation of a RefSeq genome assembly